Chenopodium quinoa (quinoa) is the source of this 2383-nucleotide long non-coding RNA. RefSeq lists it as uncharacterized. The transcript is spliced from 3 exons. NCBI's taxonomy places the organism in Eukaryota, Viridiplantae, Streptophyta, Magnoliopsida, Caryophyllales, Amaranthaceae. The record is from RefSeq and is a predicted model, not a curated record.
AAACAUAUUCUUCUUUUCUUUCUUCCUUUGGGCAUAUAUUUGACAUGUUACUUUCAUUUAUCGUACUAAAGGUCUUGGUUUUGAUAUACUGGUCAAUAUGUUGAAAAUAUUGCUGCAACACACACGUGGUUAUAAUAAAUACUCAUUUGAGAGUUAAAAUCUACCUGGUGGCCGGCCUGGUGCAUUCUGGUUGGAUGAAUUUGAUGAAUGUUCUGUGAACCUGUUGGAUAUCACUUCUGUUCUCAAGGAUUCUUACAACUGAUCGAUUGGUGUUGGUGAAAAAUGAAGAACGUCUUAUCAGAGAGCUGCGAUUGGUGGCUUAAUUUAGGCAGUGCUUUCCAAGUGACAAGAGCAUCACCACAAUCGAAGAACUUGCUCUUGCAUUAGCCUCCCUUACUCCUUACAAACUCCCUAUAACAAGUAUCAAAAUUUGGUAUCUUCAUUUUGAGGUCUGCUGAGUAAACUAGGUAACCUUUCUGUGAUGGUUUUAUGCUUUUGAAGUAUUACUACUCUCUAACACAUAAUUUCAUAAUUGAUAUCGUUCAAUACCUGGAUCAAUAUGUACCAAUGUACAAUUGCCAGUUUCAAUGAUCAGGGCCAUAUUUAUGUAAUGUUCAUGCUACGCACCAAAUUCUGAAGUCUUCUACAGUUUAAAUGCGAGCUGUUAGCUUUUCAGAUUCCCAAUCUUUGCCUCUCUGUCGUGGCCUUGGUAUGUUGUAUAUAUCUAUAUUACUAUUAUUAAGAUACAAUCACUACUGGAUACAAAAUUUUGACAGUAAUGCUGGUUUAUAUUCUGUUUUAUAUGCCAAUUAGAUUAUGCUUCAGGUUUUGAAAGAGAUAUUUAGUCAUAAUUUGUUAUUUGAAAGCACACUAUGCAUUGGCAUAGGACAUAGUGAUUGUAUGAUAUGGGAAAUAUAUGUUUAUAUAUGAUAGCAAGUCCUAUAAGGAGGCAAUACCUGUGCACUAAACCAUUGACAGAUUAGUUCAUUCAUAGGGGUGAAGUCACUUGAAAAUCCCUUUAAGUCCAUUACUUAUGACUCUUUGACUGCUUUGUUUUCCCAACUUAGAGCAUCUUGUUGUUUCUCUAUGGCCACUAACUUUACCAACAUUGUAUUAUACAAUGGAGCAAAGCGAUUGGUUGCCACCGGAUUCUGUUCCAUAUUGUUUAGCAAGUAAGCUCAAGACUAUACAGUUAAGUGGAGUACAGAGGACUGGCGCUUCCCUGAGGGUACUAGCGUAUAUUCUGAGUCACGCAGAUGUUUUGGAUAAGCUUUGCAUAGAUUUUGAAUGGCUUAAUCUCAUAAAUGAACAUAACGAAGCACAUGUAAUGUGGAUGGAAUGUCAGCUCUGUAGGUCGCUGUUCAAACUUCCAAGGAGGUCCUCAACUUGUGAGGUUGUGGUUUCUGGUAAUUAUGUCACAGCAUCAGGUAAUGCCUUACAAGACGGAUACCUUACCUGUCGAAUGUAUGUGGGCGAUUAGACCUAAUAUGUGCAACUUGUUUUCCAAAUGCAAGCAUUCAAGCUUAUGAGUUGCAGUUGGUGGUGAACUGGUGAAGUAACAGACUGAUUUGAGCCCGUUGGUUGUGAAGCUCCUGUCUGACUCGAUAAUUAGAAUAUCCUGGUUUUGAAUUUUCCAAUUUCCUGAAAAGUUCAAUUAUUCGUUGAUUAAAUACUUCUUAAGAAUAAGCAUCUUAUAUCUUGACUACAAUAGACCUCCCUUAGAAUCAGGAAGGUGGAUGUUUAAGCUUGAGAAGAACCUAUGCAGGUGCUACCAUUCCUACCAGCAUCAGUUUAGUCUUUGCUAAAGCUUUCAACUUUGGAUCUAGAACAUGCUUGCAUCAGUAUGGUACAGUGCCUAUUUUCAUCUAGAAGUUGAAAGAUUUUGAAACUUGUACCUUUGUGAAAAUUAGCUUUCUUGGGUGUCUAUAUAUUUGAUCAAAAUUCAAAAGUUGUCUGGUGGGUUCGUGGAUGAUCAAACUUCCUUAAAAAUUGGAUUAGAGAAAUUCAGCGUUGAUGUACAAAUGGGGAAUAGGAAAUUGGGUAGUGAAAUUGCAAUUGAUAGGUUUUUGAGAAGCUGAUUUUCUUCCUUAAAUUUUUAUGUAAAACUCGGUUUUCUGAUCUGAUUUUUUCGCUUUUAAUUGGUUAUUACUUCCCUUUUAAUUGGUUAUUACUUCCCUAGCAUAAUCAUUUAUGAACAUUAAAAUAUUAUUGAACAUAAAAGUAUACAACUACCAUCAUCAAAUAAACCAAACAAAGCUAUGUUCUUCAAUUGGGAUAAGAGUAAGAUUGAAAUAUUAUUUUGGAGUUUAGAGCUUAGUGGACUUUGCCCAAAAUUAUCAAAAAUAAAAAAUAAAUUAAAAGUAAAUAGAUAAAUGAAUAAAUA